This 835-nucleotide long non-coding RNA is filed under the name Homo sapiens (human). RNAcentral describes it as "HSALNT0378494". The record is from RNAcentral. Lineage: Eukaryota; Metazoa; Chordata; Mammalia; Primates; Hominidae.
CCAAAUUCUCUUUUGUCACAAUGUGACAGUAUCUUUCCACUUUCCCCCUACUCCUGAAUGUCUAAAGAACUCUCAAUGCAUAUUAGCCAUCACCAUGGUUGAGACCCAGACCUCUGCAGAGACAAUCUUGAUCCUCUGGCUCCUGCUUCACAUUGCCCAUUCACCCUCAGCACUGAAAUCCUUACCUCAAGCGCUGGGAAUUCAGGCCAUGGAAGAUUAGGAGGCUCACAGCAGUGAUCAGUCAGAUUUUACUGUAAGAAGGAAGAAAACAAGGAUCCUGCUAGAACAACAUGGAAACAGGCUGAUCUUAGGACCUACAACAAAGAGAUUUCUCACUGGCUUCCUGGUGGUUCAUUCAAUAGGGAAUUCCUGCAGCAAGUUGGAGGGAGGGAGGAGAAGCAGGGAGGCCACCUCCUGUCAAAGCUGGGACAUCUGAGAGACAGUGGUCACACAACAACUCAACUGCAUGUGCACCUAAAACACACUGAUUCCAUGAACAGAGAUUCAUGCCACUGUGUAGUCUGCAACAAAACAUUGAAGAUGGUUUCCAAUAUCCAGAUGGACAGGCUGACCAUGAGUGCAAAUCUUCUUGUCCUUAGGAAAAAAAACUUCAAAGGGUAGACAACAGCCAAAUACCGAUCAACGGCAAUGCAGGAAAGACACACACAGAGAUCCAAUAUUGGCUGGAAUGCUGACUAUAAUCACAAAGAUGUAAACAAUGGGAAACAAAUAGUGAUCCAGGUCAUGCUGUUCUUCAAUACAUGUGCUGUUCAUUUUUUCCUUUUUAAGGUAGCAAUUAUAUUAGUUCUUAGAAAGUAAACAGAGAAGUCUUGUC